This 1423-nucleotide ribosomal RNA is filed under the name metagenome. Its description in RNAcentral is "bacterial SSU rRNA". It matches the Rfam family "Bacterial small subunit ribosomal RNA". The record is from RNAcentral.
AGAGUUUGAUCCUGGCUCAGGAUGAACGCUGGCGGCGUGCUUAACACAUGCAAGUCGAACGAACCUUCGGGUUAGUGGCGGACGGGUGAGUAACGCGUGAGAAUCUGCCCUCAGGAGGGGGAUAACGGCUGGAAACGGCCGCUAAUACCCCAUAUGCCGAGAGGUGAAAUGAAUUUCGCCUGAGGAUGAGCUCGCGUCUGAUUAGCUAGUUGGUGGGGUAAGAGCCUACCAAGGCAUCGAUCAGUAGCUGGUCUGAGAGGAUGAUCAGCCACACUGGGACUGAGACACGGCCCAGACUCCUACGGGAGGCAGCAGUGGGGAAUUUUCCGCAAUGGGCGAAAGCCUGACGGAGCAACGCCGCGUGAGGGAUGAAGGCCUCUGGGCUGUAAACCUCUUUUAUCAAGGAAGAAGAUCUGACGGUACUUGAUGAAUAAGCCACGGCUAAUUCCGUGCCAGCAGCCGCGGUAAUACGGGAGUGGCAAGCGUUAUCCGGAAUUAUUGGGCGUAAAGCGUCCGCAGGCGGCCUGAUAAGUCUGUUGUCAAAGCGUGGAGCUUAACUCCAUUUCGGCAAUGGAAACUGUGAGGCUUGAGUGUGGUAGGGGCAGAGGGAAUUCCCGGUGUAGCGGUGAAAUGCGUAGAUAUCGGGAAGAACACCAGUGGCGAAGGCGCUCUGCUGGGCCAUAACUGACGCUCAUGGACGAAAGCCAGGGGAGCGAAAGGGAUUAGAUACCCCUGUAGUCCUGGCCGUAAACGAUGAACACUAGGUGUCGGGGGAAUCGACCCCCUCGGUGUCGUAGCCAACGCGUUAAGAGUUCCGCCUGGGGAGUACGCACGCAAGUGUGAAACUCAAAGGAAUUGACGGGGGCCCGCACAAGCGGUGGAGUAUGUGGUUUAAUUCGAUGCAACGCGAAGAACCUUACCAGGGUUUGACAUCCUGCGAAUCCCUUGGAAACUUGGGAGUGCCUUCGGGAGCGCAGAGACAGGUGGUGCAUGGCUGUCGUCAGCUCGUGUCGUGAGAUGUUGGGUUAAGUCCCGCAACGAGCGCAACCCACGUCUUUAGUUGCCAGCAUUGAGUUGGGCACUCUAGAGAGACCGCCGGUGAUAAACCGGAGGAAGGUGUGGAUGACGUCAAGUCAUCAUGCCCCUUACAUCCUGGGCUACACACGUACUACAAUGCUACGGACAAAGGGCAGCAAACUCGCGAGAGCUAGCAAAUCCCAUAAACCGUGGCUCAGUUCAGAUCGUAGGCUGCAACUCGCCUACGUGAAGGAGGAAUCGCUAGUAAUCGCAGGUCAGCAUACUGCGGUGAAUACGUUCCCGGGCCUUGUACACACCGCCCGUCACACCAUGGAAGUUGGCCACGCCCGAAGCCGUUACUCCAACCCUUGUGGAGGAGGACGUCGAAGGUGGGGCUGAUGACUGG